UAGGGAAUAUUGCUCAAUGGGCGAAAGCCUGAAGCAGCAACGCCGCGUGGAGGAUGACACUUUUCGGAGCGUAAACUCCUUUUCUUAGGGAAGAAAGUGACGGUACCUGAUGAAUAAGCCACGGCUAACUACGUGCCAGCAGCCGCGGUAAUACGUAGGUGGCAAGCGUUAUCCGGAUUUACUGGGUGUAAAGGGCGCGUAGGCGGGGAUGCAAGUCAGAUGUGAAAUCUAUGGGCUUAACCCAUAAACUGCAUUUGAAACUGUAUCUCUUGAGUGUCGGAGAGGUAGACGGAAUUCCUAGUGUAGCGGUGAAAUGCGUAGAUAUUAGGAGGAACACCAGUGGCGAAGGCGGUCUACUGGACGAUAACUGACGCUGAGGCGCGAAAGCGUGGGGAGCAAACAGGAUUAGAUACCCUGGUAGU
This 422-nucleotide ribosomal RNA is filed under the name uncultured Oscillospiraceae bacterium. Its description in RNAcentral is "bacterial SSU rRNA". It matches the Rfam family "Bacterial small subunit ribosomal RNA", at positions 355 to 794 of the family's 1533-position model. Lineage: Bacteria; Bacillati; Bacillota; Clostridia; Eubacteriales; Oscillospiraceae. The record is from RNAcentral.